AAGAGGAAUGCGCAAGAAUAGCGAAAACCCGAAAACGUCGUGCCUAAGGAAGAUUUGGACAACGUUGCUUGUUUCCAUGUGUGUAUGAGCUGGAAAUGGGCCCAUGUUGAUGAUGGGACGUGCACACGGUUUCUCAGGGAUUCACCCCAGAUGAUGUCAACGGCAGGUUUUAACGUAACACUGAAGGGCAUAGGUCAGUUAUAUAACAAGGUGAAUGGAAAGAUGUAACCAGCACAACGCUAUUCACUCCAGAAUGAUGUCCUCCUGAG
Molecule: long non-coding RNA, 269 nt
Filed under: Neogobius melanostomus (round goby)
Lineage: Eukaryota; Metazoa; Chordata; Actinopteri; Gobiiformes; Gobiidae
Description: lncRNA (ENSNMLG00000001355.1)
Source: RNAcentral